Molecule: ribosomal RNA, 407 nt
Filed under: uncultured bacterium
Lineage: Bacteria
Description: partial 16S ribosomal RNA
Rfam family: Bacterial small subunit ribosomal RNA
Source: RNAcentral
AUUGAACGCUGGCGGCAGGCCUAACACAUGCAAGUCGAGCGGAGCGGCGGACGGGUGAGUAAUGCCUAGGAAUCUGCCUGGUAGCGGGGGAUAACUUCCGGAAACGGGCGCUAAUACCGCAUACUAUCAGAUGAGCCUAGGUCGGAUUAGCUAGUUGGUGGGGUAAAGGCUUACCAAGGCGCCGAUCCGUAGCUGGUGUGAGAGGAUGAUCAGUCACUCUAGGACUGAGACACGGUCCAGACUCCUACGGGAGGCAGCAGUGGGGAAUUUUGGACAAAGGGGGAAAGCCUGAUCCAGCCAUGCCGCGUGUGGUAAGAAGGUCUUCGGAUUGUAAAGCACUUUAGGUAGGGAAGCGUUACCAGCAGAAUAAGCACCGGCUAACUUCAUGCCAGCCGCCGCGGAAAUAC